This 107-nucleotide ribosomal RNA is filed under the name Pteropus alecto (black flying fox). Lineage: Eukaryota; Metazoa; Chordata; Mammalia; Chiroptera; Pteropodidae. The record is from RNAcentral.
GUCUACGGCCAUGCCACCCUGAACACGCCUGAUCCUGUCUGAUCUCUGAAGAUAGGCUGUUUAGCACUUGGAUGGGAGGCCACCUAGAAGACCAGGUGCUGUAGGUG